RNAcentral lists this long non-coding RNA (1098 nucleotides) under Felis catus (domestic cat). RNAcentral's name for it is "lncRNA (ENSFCAG00000048308.1)". The record is from RNAcentral. Lineage: Eukaryota; Metazoa; Chordata; Mammalia; Carnivora; Felidae.
CAAAAGGAGAACAACACCUAUACUUAUCAUAAAGUGUAGUGGUUACACUUGUCCUAGAAGUAUAUACGAUUGCUCUUUACCCCCAUUCUUGCUAAACUAGACACUUUCAUUCUUAUUCUUUACCAACCUGGAAGGCAAAAGAUAGUAUCUCAUUUUAAUUUGCAUUUUCUAAAUAGGAUUUUAAGGAUCUUAGUAUUUUAUCUUGAGCAGAAGUGUAUCGGUCAAGGAAAACAGAAGUCAGUUUCUACUAAAAUAAGAAAAGCUAAGAAUGUUAGUACCCAGGAUAUAUUUUGAAACAAUUUAAAAUCAAGUGAAUUGAUUAAAACUGUAUUUUAGCUGUUCCUGGUAUUUAGGGAACCUUUUUUCUCUCUAAUCAUGCUGUGUAUAAUUGCAUAAAGACACAGCAGGAGAUAAACUUUUUAGGAAAAAAAAGCAAACAAAACUCUGAAGCCAAGUAGCAAAAGCAUUCCUCACGAUACAUGUCACUUUAAUUUCAUGUGGUAAUUAUUUUUACAAGCAUUUAGCACACAGUUUGAACCUCAGUUCAUAGAAGCCACCAUUUUUUCCAGAUAUGACAGAAUUGUGUGUUCAAAAAUAUGGCUAGAGGAGAAUUUCUGUUAAAACUUGUUGCAUAAAAAUUAAAAUUUUUUUGAAUGAUUGACAGAACCAAUAAAUUCUCUUUUCAGCUGACAAUUGUCUGUUUGCAUCAACAUCUUUUACCACACGAGGAACAUGUACAGAAUUUGAACCAUGAUGUACAAUGGGAAAAGUACUGCACUUCCUGGAGGGAAACUUGAGUUUAAACCCAGGAUUCAUUCAAGAAAAAGCUGCAUAACUGAGCCAGGACUGCAGCUACACACCUUCUUCUACAUGCCGUACAGUCUGGUUUCCUUUUCCAAGGACCCGUGCUGUGCUUUUGUCCAUGGCUCACCUUGUGUGGUGACGUCGAGACUUCUGAAGAUAUGGAAGACCAGUGCAUCUUACUGGACACAGAUGGAAAAAUAUCCCAACCCCAGCUCCACAAUGAAGCCAAAGUUUCCGCCCGUGACCCCUGCAGCAGCUGAUAGGUUUGACAGAACUAGCUUGACAUCUGCUUAA